AGAGAUGCACUGGGUUUAAAGCGUGCGCAGGCGGUUUUGUAAGACAGAGGUGAAAUCCCCGGGCUCAACCUGGGAACUGUCUUUGUGACUGCAAGGCUGGAGUGCGGCAGAGGGGGAUGGAAUUCCGCGUGUAGCAGUGAAAUGCGUAGAUAUGCGGAGGAACACCGAUGGCGAAGGCAAUCCCCUGGGCCUGCACUGACGCUCAUGCACGAAAGCGUGGGGAGCAAACA
This 230-nucleotide ribosomal RNA is filed under the name uncultured Alicycliphilus sp. Its description in RNAcentral is "partial 16S ribosomal RNA". It matches the Rfam family "Bacterial small subunit ribosomal RNA", at positions 548 to 774 of the family's 1533-position model. Lineage: Bacteria; Pseudomonadati; Pseudomonadota; Betaproteobacteria; Burkholderiales; Comamonadaceae. The record is from RNAcentral.